This 429-nucleotide ribosomal RNA is filed under the name Bacteroidota bacterium. Its description in RNAcentral is "Bacteroidetes bacterium partial 16S ribosomal RNA". It matches the Rfam family "Bacterial small subunit ribosomal RNA", at positions 355 to 776 of the family's 1533-position model. RNAcentral also lists the same sequence under 1 other name. Lineage: Bacteria; Pseudomonadati; Bacteroidota. The record is from RNAcentral.
UAGGGAAUCUUCGGCAAUGGGGGGAACCCUGACCGAGCAACGCCGCGUGAGUGAAGAAGGUUUUCGGAUCGUAAAGCUCUGUUGUUAAGGAAGAACGAGUGUGAGAAUGGAAAGUUCAUGCUGUGACGGUACUUAACCAGAAAGGGACGGCUAACUACGUGCCAGCAGCCGCGGUAAUACGUAGGUCCCGAGCGUUGUCCGGAUUUAUUGGGCGUAAAGCGAGCGCAGGCGGUUAGAAAAGUCUGAAGUGAAAGGCAGUGGCUCAACCAUUGUAGGCUUUGGAAACUGUUUAACUUGAGUGCAGAAGGGGAGAGUGGAAUUCCAUGGGUAGCGGUGAAAUGCGUAGAUAUAUGGAGGAACACCGGUGGCGAAAGCGGCUCUCUGGUCUGUAACUGACGCUGAGGCUCGAAAGCGUGGGGAGCGAACAGG